AUACGUAGGUGGCAAGCGUUGUCCGGAAUUAUUGGGCGUAAAGCGCGCGCAGGUGGUUCCUUAAGUCUGAUGUGAAAGCACCCGGCUCAACCGGGGAGGGUCAUUGGAAACUGGGGAACUUGAGUGCAGAAGAGGAUAGUGGAAUUCCAAGUGUAGCGGUGAAAUGCGUAGAGAUUUGGAGGAACACCAGUGGCGAAGGCGACUGUCUGGUCUGUAACUGACACUGAGGCGCGAAAGCGUGGGGAGCAAACAGGAUUAGAUACCCUGGUAGUCCACGCCGUAAACGAUGAGUGCUAAGUGUUGGGGGGUUUCCGCCCCUCAGUGCUGCAGCUAACGCAUUAAGCACUCCGCCUGGGGAGUACGGUCGCAAGACUGAAACUCAAAUGAAUUGACGGGG
This 397-nucleotide ribosomal RNA is filed under the name uncultured bacterium. Its description in RNAcentral is "partial 16S ribosomal RNA". It matches the Rfam family "Bacterial small subunit ribosomal RNA", at positions 523 to 918 of the family's 1533-position model. The record is from RNAcentral.